AUGCUUAGGAAAAUGUUCCAAGGUGGUUCUUCAAGGAAGCAAGGACCCAGGCUUGCAAUGCGUGAUGCUGACGAUGAGCCACCAAGGGACGCUCCAGUGCGGCCUUGUGAAUGGCCUUCAGAAAACUUUAUGGAUCGAGCGGGAAUCAAGCAAGAAUUUAACGCGUAUUUGCGUAACGCUGAUCUUGUGAGCUUCGAGGAGGAAAAGUGCCGCCAGUACCACUAUCUCACUAGUUCCUUUGUAAGGAGGUUUGAAUUUUCAUCUUCACGUAAUUCUCCAACUGUCCUGUUUGAUCUCUAUGAAAAAUCUUAUACGAUGGGCUUAGAGGAUUUUACCACUGCUUGCAAACUUCCACAAUGGGGUAGUGCUAGUGAACCCCGCAAAUCUGAAUUUAGAGAUUUUCUUGCUAGUAUAACUGUGGGGGAAUCUAGAGAUAUAGCACAAGCUAACAUAGGGAGCAUUCAUUUUCCUGCUAUACAUUAUUUUGCUCUCUUCAUAGGUAGCAUAAAUGGUAAAGAUGAAGCAUGUCAUAUGUGUGUCCCUGACCUCAGUAUUCUUAGGAGUGCUGUGUUAGGAGACAAAUCUUAUAAUUUGGGAGCCAUUGUUGCGCGUAGGUUGCAUCACAAUAGAUUUAAUGGAGAUUUCUUUGGUGGAAUUUAUGCAACCCGCUUAGCUAAUUUUCUUGGUGUGGACAUAUGUGAGGAUGAUAUUGAGUUGCCACCUACUUAUUUAGACUUUAAUGCUAUGGUUCACCACCAGUUUGUCGAGAGGAAUGAAUCACCUCUCCGGUAUCGCUUAAUCUUUGACAGACGUCGUGCUGUCGUAUUACUCUCCCUGCUCCUACCUUCUUUGAUUAUCAGGCAAAAGGAAGACAUUUCAUUACCAGAGAGGAGGCAGAUGAGUACUAGAGGAGGGCGGAGGCAGCUCGCCGCCACGCUGCAGCCCAGGAGGCAAUAA
Molecule: ribosomal RNA, 957 nt
Filed under: Triticum aestivum (bread wheat)
Lineage: Eukaryota; Viridiplantae; Streptophyta; Magnoliopsida; Poales; Poaceae
Description: partial small subunit ribosomal RNA
Source: RNAcentral